RNAcentral lists this transfer RNA (68 nucleotides) under Xanthonycticebus pygmaeus (pygmy slow loris). RNAcentral describes it as "Nycticebus pygmaeus (pygmy slow loris) tRNA-Tyr". It matches the Rfam family "tRNA". From Rfam's summary of the family: Transfer RNA (tRNA) molecules are approximately 80 nucleotides in length. Lineage: Eukaryota; Metazoa; Chordata; Mammalia; Primates; Lorisidae. The record is from RNAcentral.
GGUAAAAUGGCUGAGUAGAGGUAUUGGACUGUAAAUCCAAAAACAGGGGUUAAGUCCCCUUUUUACCA